AAGACUAUAGACCUGCGGAGUACCUGCGGAGGGAUCAUUACCGAGUUUACAACUCCCAAACCCAAUGUGGACGUUACCAAACUGUUGCCUCGGCGGGAUCUCUGCCCCGGGUGCGUCGCAGCCCCGGACCAAGGCGCCCGCCGGAGGACCAACCAAAACUCUUUUGUAUACCCCCUCGCGGGUUUUUUUAUAUCUGAGCCAUCUCGGCGCCUCUCGUAGGCGUUUCGAAAAUGAAUCAAA
Molecule: unclassified non-coding RNA, 240 nt
Filed under: soil metagenome
Description: partial contains 5.8S ribosomal RNA, internal transcribed spacer 2, and large subunit ribosomal RNA
Source: RNAcentral